RNAcentral lists this ribosomal RNA (463 nucleotides) under uncultured beta proteobacterium. RNAcentral describes it as "bacterial SSU rRNA". It matches the Rfam family "Bacterial small subunit ribosomal RNA", at positions 200 to 642 of the family's 1533-position model. The record is from RNAcentral. Lineage: Bacteria; Pseudomonadati; Pseudomonadota; Betaproteobacteria.
AGGAAAGCAGGGGAUCGCAANCACCUUGNCGCUCUUGGAGCGGCCGAUGUCUGAUUAGCUAGUUGGUGAGGUAAAGGCUUACCAAGGCGACGAUCAGUAGCUGGUCUGAGAGGACGACCAGCCACACUGGGACUGAGACACGGCCCAGACUCCUACGGGAGGCAGCAGUGGGGAAUUUUGGACAAUGGGGGAAACCCUGAUCCAGCCAUGCCGCGUGAGUGAAGAAGGCCUUCGGGUUGUAAAGCUCUUUCAGCCGGAACGAAACGGUCACGGCUAAUACCUGUGAUCACUGACGGUACCGGAAGAAGAAGCACCGGCUAACUACGUGCCAGCAGCCGCGGUAAUACGUAGGGUGCAAGCGUUAAUCGGAAUUACUGGGCGUAAAGCGUGCGCAGGCGGUUUUGUAAGUCAGAUGUGAAAUCCCCGGGCUUAACCUGGGAACUGCGUUUGAAACUACAAGGCU